UACUAUAGCUUGACACUGAACAUUGAGCCUUGAUGUGUAGGAUAGGUGGGAGGCUUUGAAGCGUGGACGCCAGUCUGCGUGGAGCCAACCUUGAAAUACCACCCUUUAAUGUUUGAUGUUCUAACGUGGGCCCCUAAUCGGGGUUGCGGACAGUGUCUGGUGGGUAGUUUGACUGGGGCGGUCUCCUCCCAAAGCGUAACGGAGGAGCACGAAGGUUAGCUAAUCCUGGUCGGACAUCAGGAGGUUAGUGCAAUGGCAUAAGCUAGCUUGACUGCGAGCGUGACGGCGCGAGCAGGUGCGAAAGCAGGUCAUAGUGAUCCGGUGGUUCUGAAUGGAAGGGCCAUCGCUCAACGGAUAAAAGGUACUCCGGGGAUAACAGGCUGAUACCGCCCAAGAGUUCAUAUCGACGGCGGUGUUUGGCACCUCGAUGUCGGCUCAUCACAUCCUGGGGCUGAAGUAGGUCCCAAGGGUAUGGCUGUUCGCCAUUUAAAGUGGUACGCGAGCUGGGUUUAGAACGUCGUGAGACAGUUCGGUCCCUAUCUGCCGUGGGCGCUGGAGAAUUGAGGGGGGCUGCUCCUAGUACGAGAGGACCGGAGUGGACGCAUCACUGGUGUUCGGGUUGUCAUGCCAAUGGCACUGCCCGGUAGCUAAAUGCGGAAGAGAUAAGUGCUGAAAGCAUCUAAGCACGAAACUUGCCCCGAGAUGAGUUCUCCCUGAGACUUUAAGUCUCCUGAAGGAACGUUGAAGACGACGACGUUGAUAGGCCGGGUGUGUAAGCGCAGCGAUGCGUUGAGCUAACCGGUACUAAUGAACCGUGAGGCUUAACCUUACAACGCCGAAG
RNAcentral lists this ribosomal RNA (841 nucleotides) under Klebsiella quasipneumoniae. RNAcentral's name for it is "bacterial LSU rRNA". It matches the Rfam family "Bacterial large subunit ribosomal RNA", at positions 2102 to 2925 of the family's 2925-position model. Lineage: Bacteria; Pseudomonadati; Pseudomonadota; Gammaproteobacteria; Enterobacterales; Enterobacteriaceae. The record is from RNAcentral.